Molecule: small nuclear RNA, 138 nt
Organism: Cynoglossus semilaevis (tongue sole)
Lineage: Eukaryota; Metazoa; Chordata; Actinopteri; Pleuronectiformes; Cynoglossidae
Gene: U4
Rfam family: U4 spliceosomal RNA
About the family: U4 small nuclear RNA (U4 snRNA) is a component of the major U2-dependent spliceosome. The structure of U4 snRNA from yeast and human has been reported. U4 snRNA presents a k-turn RNA motif in the 5p-SL related to recognition of Snu13 protein.
Source: Ensembl
AGCUUUGCGCAGUGGCAGUAUCGUAGCCUAUGAGGUUUAUCCGAGGCGCGAUUAUUGCUAGUUGAAAACUUUACCCAAUACCCCGCCUUGACGACUCACUGAGUCGGCAACGGCAAUUUUUGACGGUUUCUAAGGAAA